Molecule: ribosomal RNA, 433 nt
Filed under: uncultured bacterium
Lineage: Bacteria
Description: partial 16S ribosomal RNA
Rfam family: Bacterial small subunit ribosomal RNA
Source: RNAcentral
AGCGAACGCUGGCGGCAGGCUUAACACAUGCAAGUCGAGCGGGCCCUUCGGGGUCAGCGGCAGACGGGUGAGUAACGCGUGGGAACGUGCCCUUCGGUUCGGAAUAACUCAGGGAAACUUGAGCUAAUACCGGAUACGCCCUUAUGGGGAAAGGCUUGCUGCCGAAGGAUCGGCCCGCGUCUGAUUAGCUAGUUGGUGAGGUUAUCGCUCACCAAGGCGACGAUCAGUAGCUGGUCUGAGAGGAUGAUCAGCCACACUGGGACUGAGACACGGCCCAGACUCCUACGGGAGGCAGCAGUGGGGAAUAUUGGACAAUGGGGGCAACCCUGAUCCAGCCAUGCCGCGUGAGUGAUGACGGCCUUAGGGUUGUAAAGCUCUUUUCUCCGGGACGAUAAUGACGGUACCGGAGGAAUAAGCCCCGGCUAACUUCGUG